GCUGUAAUGGCCGAGUGGUUAAGGCGUUGAAUCCAAUGGGGUUUCCUGCGCAGGUUCAAAUCCUGCUCACAGCG
Molecule: transfer RNA, 74 nt
Filed under: Perca fluviatilis (European perch)
Lineage: Eukaryota; Metazoa; Chordata; Actinopteri; Perciformes; Percidae
Rfam family: tRNA
About the family: Transfer RNA (tRNA) molecules are approximately 80 nucleotides in length.
Source: Rfam by way of RNAcentral